Molecule: ribosomal RNA, 253 nt
Filed under: uncultured bacterium
Lineage: Bacteria
Description: partial 16S ribosomal RNA
Rfam family: Bacterial small subunit ribosomal RNA
Source: RNAcentral
UACGGAGGGUGCAAGCGUUGUUCGGAAUUACUGGGCGUAAAGCGCGCGUAGGCGGCUGUUUAAGUCAUUUGUGAAAGUCCACGGCUCAACCGUGGAAGUGCAUGUGAAACUGGGCAGCUUGAGUACUGGAGGGGGUAGUGGAAUUCCCGGUGUAGAGGUGAAAUUCGUAGAUAUCGGGAGGAAUACCGGUGGCGAAGGCGACUGCCUGGCCAGAUACUGACGCUGAGGUGCGAAAGCGUGGGGAGCAAACAGG